Molecule: long non-coding RNA, 299 nt
Filed under: Rattus norvegicus (Norway rat)
Lineage: Eukaryota; Metazoa; Chordata; Mammalia; Rodentia; Muridae
Description: long non-coding RNA NONRATT014975
Source: RNAcentral
UCGGGGGCAGGAACCGAGGCUCCUGCAGGCCACGUAGAAAAAGAGGUCACUUGGUGGAUGGGGACCUUCAUGUCAUGUGAGCGGAGGACAGGCUACUUUACCUGUGUGUACACAUGGACUAGACCACACUGAACUGCCCUUCCCUGAUGCACCUUUGAAGUAUGCAUGACCGUAUAGACAACAGACGGAAGUUGAAUGCUUUAUGGGGCUCAAUGGGGUGUUUCCUAGCAAAGGAAUUUAUAUAAUGCCUUCUCGGGUUUUUUGGGUUUUUUUGCACUAAUAAAAAUGUAAAAAGUUAA